AUCUUGUAUUCACUGACUGUCUUGUUAGAUUAACCCAAUAAAUUUCAUUUACUCCGCAUACUCAAUCCUAUAGACACCCUUUUAACUCUUCAUCACAGACGUAACUCGAUUUCAUAAAAUAGUCAAGAGUAAUCAAACCCACUUCAUUAAAAAUCCCAAUUCACCAUUACUACACUGACUUCAGCAACGAUUGCCUCAGUCUUCCCAAAAUCCUAUGAAGAAAAAAAACCCAAUUCUCUGUCUUCUUUCUCCGCCCGAAGCAUGAAGCUA
RNAcentral lists this long non-coding RNA (270 nucleotides) under Physcomitrium patens. RNAcentral's name for it is "long non-coding RNA (PPAT_LNC013901)". The record is from RNAcentral. Lineage: Eukaryota; Viridiplantae; Streptophyta; Bryopsida; Funariales; Funariaceae.